RNAcentral lists this long non-coding RNA (257 nucleotides) under Elaeis guineensis (African oil palm). RNAcentral's name for it is "long non-coding RNA (EGUI_LNC079665)". Lineage: Eukaryota; Viridiplantae; Streptophyta; Magnoliopsida; Arecales; Arecaceae. The record is from RNAcentral.
AAUUGAUUACAAGGUUCAUGAUUCCUAAUGCUAGAACUGGAACUUUGCUUCCAUCUCCAACGUUUAGGAAUCUCUCGCCUUCAUCAAAUCUCCUACUGACCUGUAGACCCUGCAUCGAAUUGCAAAUAUGAUAAGGGCUUCUAGUAUCCAAUACCCAGGCAGUAGUAUCACAAAUGAAAAAGUUACAAGGUGUUAUCAUAUAAGUACCUUGCUUCUUCUUCGGCCUGUUCGGGUCCAGUGAGGCAAUGUAUAGAGGA